RNAcentral lists this unclassified non-coding RNA (1571 nucleotides) under Haliotis rufescens (red abalone). RNAcentral describes it as "uncharacterized transporter slc-17.2-like, transcript variant X1". Lineage: Eukaryota; Metazoa; Mollusca; Gastropoda; Lepetellida; Haliotidae. The record is from RNAcentral.
CACACCCCAGCACUGGGCUAUACUCACUGUGUUCCAUCCAAGAACUACUCCAUGAACGAAACUUCACUGAGACAACAUGGCAGAAGUUAAUGGAACGUGUUCCGCACCAAAACAACACCAUAGUGACACACUUCCCGAAAACUACCCGACCGUGAUUCAGAAAUACACCUCCUACAGGUGGCGCUUUGGAUAUAUGAUGAUCCUCGGAAUGGUCUCUGUCCAGUGCAUGAAGAACUGCAUGUCAUUCGCUUUAGUAUGCAUGACAAGGGGGGUAACUCUUAACAAGGGAGAGCACUCGAACCAAAGCAAUGCUGGCACCAAUUACACAGCAGCAUUUUCACCUGGAAGCAGCGGAUCGCUAAAUUAUUCACGUGAGGCGUCUACGGCAGAGUUUGACUACAGCAGCCAGAUGCAAGGUCUUCUCAUAUCGUCAACUUACUACAUUGGAAUUAUUUCGCCAAUAUUUGGCAGCAUGGCUUCACGGAGAUUUGGUGCCAAGAGAGUCAUCUGUGCAUGUAUGAUGUUGGGUGGUGUCACGACGAUCGCUGUUCCGGUAGCGGCAAGAAGUCAUGUGUAUCUGGCUGUCAUUUGCAGACUGCUUCUCGGAUUUGCAAUUAACGGCUUGCUGCCUGUAACACUUGACGUGUGGCUGUACUGGGCUCCCACACAAGAAAAGGCACAGCUGGUGGCCUACACCUUCACAGGAUACAACAUAGCAAGUAUUGUGACGUUCUUUAUCUGUGGAUUCCUCUGUCUCACUCCAAUAGACAACGGUUGGCCGUUCAUCUUCUACGUGUUUGGUGGCUGCGCAAUCCUCUGGGGUCUGGCGUGGAUGUAUUGGGGUCAUGACAAACCGGAAAUGCAUCCAAGAAUCUCACAGCAUGAAAAGAUUUAUAUCUUAACGAACAGAACAAACGUCGACAUAGAGCUCAAGGAUAAAAAUGUUCCCUGGAAGGACAUUUUCCGGAGUAAACCCGUGUGGGCAUAUCUGAUUGUCAUCUUUCUGCAUACGUGCAAUAGUAGUAUUUUGGCGAGUUACCUCCCCUUGUAUAUGGCAACCGUGCUCAACUUUGACGUGGAACAGAACGGUGUGCUCUCCUCGCUGCCCUAUGUCACUCGUGUCAUGGGGACUGUGUUUUGGAGCCACGUCAGCAUGAAGCUGGUGAAAAAGAUCUCCGUUACCCACACACGGAAACUUAUACAGACAAUCGGGUUUGCUGUGGCAUCCGUGCUGACCAUUGGUCUGUGCUCUCUGGAGGAUGGUCAGGAGAUCAUCGCCGUUGCCAUCUUCGUAGUGUCCAUGCCGUUCCAGUCGGUGACCGCCGUUGGCUGUUUGCUCAGCCCCGUGGAUAUAGCACCGCAGUAGGGGGUCACAUGAAACAUUUCUUGUUGGGAAGGAUGACUAAUCAAGGAUGAUACAUUCUACUUUUCAUCUGAAAAAGAACGAGGCAUUAAGAAUAUUAAAACAGAACAGGCCCCGAUCAUCCGUCAACUUCUAAGUUCGCUUCCUUUCUAACGGCAUUAGGAGAGGUGUUCAGUUUCGUUGCAUACUCCCUUGCCCCCGUCACUGU